Non-coding RNA from Brachypodium distachyon (stiff brome), 125 nucleotides. The record is from Rfam. Lineage: Eukaryota; Viridiplantae; Streptophyta; Magnoliopsida; Poales; Poaceae.
UAUCUACUCUCUUCGAUCCAUAUCAAUUGUCGAAAUAUUACGUGUAUCUAUACAUAUUUUAGGCAUAGAUACAUUCAUAUUUGGACAAAUUUGAGACAAUUGAUAUGGAUCGGAGGGAGUAGCAA